This 208-nucleotide ribosomal RNA is filed under the name uncultured Anaerolineaceae bacterium. RNAcentral's name for it is "partial 16S ribosomal RNA". It matches the Rfam family "Bacterial small subunit ribosomal RNA", at positions 568 to 774 of the family's 1533-position model. The record is from RNAcentral. Lineage: Bacteria; Bacillati; Chloroflexota; Anaerolineae; Anaerolineales; Anaerolineaceae.
CGUGUAGGCGGUCUUGUAAGUUGGAUGUGAAAGCUCCUGGCUUAACUGGGAGAGGUCGUUCAAAAACUGCAAGACUUGAGAGUGGUAGAGGGAGGUGGAAUUCCGGGUGUAGUGGUGAAAUGCGUAGAUAUCCGGAGGAACACCAGUGGCGAAAGCGGCCUCCUGGACCACUUCUGACGCUCAGACGCGAAAGCUAAGGUAGCAAACG